UCAAGCUACAAAGGGCGCAUGGUGAAUGCCUUGGCAUCAGGAGCCGAAGAAGGACGUGAUAAGCUGCGAUAAGCUUCGGGUAGGCGCAAAUAGCCUGAGAUCCGGAGAUUUCCGAAUGAGGGAACUCACAUGGGAAACCCCAUGUAUCCUUAAGUGAAUACAUAGCUUAAGGAGGGUAAACCCAGGGAACUGAAACAUCUAAGUACCUGGAGGAAGAGAAAGAAAAAUCGAUUCUCUGAGUAGCGGCGAGCGAAAGGGGAAGAGCCCAAACCAGAAACUUGUUUCUGGGGUUGCGGACAGAACAUUAAAUCGAAACAAUCAUUAACCGAACAAUACUGGAAAGUAUGACCGUAGGAGGUAAUAGUCCUGUAGGUAAAAGUGAAUGUAAGAGAGUUCUGAUCCAGAGUACCACGAGACACGUGAAACCUUGUGGGAAGCAGGGAGGACCACCUCCCAAGGCUAAAUACUACCUGAUGACCGAUAGUGAAGCAGUACCGUGAGGGAAAGGUGAAAAGAACCCCGGGAGGGGAGUGAAAUAGAACCUGAAACCGUGUGCCUACAACCGAUCAAAGCACCAUAUGAGUGUGAUGAUGUGCUUUUUGUAGAACGAGCCAACGAGUUAUUGGUCUUAUGUCAAUAUUUUGGACACAAAAAGUCAAACUUUUUCAUGCUGCACUUCUAGCUAAUAAUUCACAUUGAUCUGGAGUCAUGUAAUUAAUAGAAGAGUGUAUCCUUUUUCUGUUAUACCAACCUUCAAUAUAUUUAAAUAUAGCUAUAUUAGCUUCUUCGAAGGUACGGUAUGUAUUUCUAUAUAUUUCUUCCUUCUUUAUUGAAGAAUGGAAAGAUUCUAUACAAGCAUUGUCAUAUGGGCAUCCUUUUUUACUAAAUGAUUGUGUAAUAUUAAAUUCUUUACACAGUUCUUUUAAAUCAUUACUAGUGUAUUGGGAGCCUAAGUCACUAUGGAAUAUUAGCUGCUUAUUCUUAUCAGGACUUUGGCAGUAAUAAGCAUUUUUUAAAGCUUUAGAAACUAAAUCAUUGGUCAUCCUUUUACCGAAAGCGUAGCCAAUGAUUUUUCUAGAGUGUAAAUCAAGAACUGACGCUAAAUAGCACCAACCAUCUGUUAUAGUAUGAAUAUAUGUAAUAUCUCCUACCCAUUUUUCAUUAAUAGAAAUAGUUGUAAAAUCUCUUUUUAAAACGUUUUCUAAACCUUCUGCUACCUUUUUAUCUGAAUGAGGCUUGUAUUUUUUUACAGUUAUUGCACAAAGGCCAAGUUCAGUCAUUCUUCUUUGAACUCUUUUUAAGGAGAUAUCAAAGCCUUCAGUACCAAGUAUAUGAUGAAUCCUAGGAGCUCCAUAUAUACCUUUAUUAGCUUUAUAUAUCCUUAUAAUAGCUGUUUUUAACUCCUCAUUUUCUACUUCUCUUGCAGAUUUAGUUUUAUCAAAAAAUUUAUAAUAUGUGCUCCUGGCUACGCCUAGAACGGUACACAUAGUCUUAAUAUCAUGGUUGUUUUUAUUACUAUCUAUAAAUUCUAUUACGUGGUCUAAUUUCUUGUUGCAAAUAUGGCCAUAGCUUUUUUUAAUAUUUCAUUUUCCUCUUUAAUCUUUGCCAUUUCUUUCUUUAAAGCUUUAACUUCCUUCAAAGUCAUAACUUCAUUUUCAUCCACUUUAAUUUCCUUUAUAUCUUUGAUCCAGCCGUUAAUUGUUGAUUUUGCAAUGCCAUAUUCGCUACUUAGCUCAGCCAAGCUCAUUCCUGACUUAAAUAAGUCUACUAUCAUGUCUUUAUAUUCUUGAUCAUAUCUUCUGCCCUUACUCAUAAUGGACACAUCCUUUCUUAACUAAAUAUUAUUUUACUUAGUUCGACUUAAUGUGUCCACUACUUUAUACUAACACCAUAUGGUAUGUAGCGAGGUUAAGUACUUAAGGUACGGAGCCGAAGGGAAACCGAGUCUGAAUAGGGCGACUAGUUGCAUGCUGUAGACCCGAAACCGGGUGACCUAUCCAUGGCCAGGUUGAAGCGAGAGUAAAAUCUCGUGGAGGACCGAACCACGUUGGUGUUGAAAAACCAUGGGAUGAGCUGUGGAUAGCGGAGAAAUUCCAAUCGAACUCGGAGAUAGCUGGUUCUCCUCGAAAUAGCUUUAGGGCUAGCGUCGGAUAUGAGUAAUGGAGGUAGAGCACUGAAUGGGCUAGGGGGCAUAGCGCUUACCGAACCUUAUCAAACUCCGAAUGCCAUAUACUAUUAAGUCCGGCAGUCAGACUGCGAAUGAUAAGAUCCGUGGUCAAAAGGGAAACAGCCCAGAUCGUCAGCUAAGGUCCCAAAGUGUAAGUUAAGUGGAAAAGGAUGUGGGAUUUCUAAGACAACUAGGAUGUUGGCUUAGAAGCAGCCACUCAUUUAAAGAGUGCGUAAUAGCUCACUAGUCGAGAGAUUCUGCGCCGAAAAUGUUCGGGGCUCAAACUUACCACCGAAGCUACGGGCUUAAGUUAAACUUAAGCGGUAGAGGAGCGUCGUAAUCGGGCUGAAGUCGUACCGGAAGGAGCGGUGGACUGAUUACGAGUGAGAAUGUUGGCAUUAGUAGCGAGAUGUGAGUGAGAAUCUCACAGGCCGAAAACCUAAGGUUUCCUCAGGAAGGCUCGUCCGCUGAGGGUUAGUCGGGACCUAAGCCGAGGCCGAAAGGCGUAGGUGAUGGACAAUCGGUUGAUAUUCCGAUACCACUAUUAAUCGUUAAAACCGAAGGCGUAACGCAGGAGGAUAGGAUGUGCUAGCUAUUGGAUGCUAGUCUAAGCACUUAGGGAGUUCAGCAAGGCAAAUCCGGCUGAACAAUUCUGAGGUGUGAUGGGGAAGGAACUACGGUUCCGAAGUAUCUGAUUCCACGCUGCCAAGAAAAGCGUCUAGGGAGAGAGGUAGUGCCCGUACCGCAAACCGACACAGGUAGGUGAGGAGAGAAUCCUAAGGCCAGCGGAAGAAUCACAGUUAAGGAACUCGGCAAAUUGACCCCGUAACUUAGGGAGAAGGGGUGCCUACGCAAGUAGGCCGCAGAGAAUAGGCCCAAGCAACUGUUUAGCAAAAACACAGGUCUCUGCUAAAGCGAAAGCUGAUGUAUAGGGGCUGACGCCUGCCCGGUGCUGGAAGGUUAAGGGGAAUACUUAGCGCAAGCGAAGGUAUGAACUUAAGCCCCAGUAAACGGCGGCCGUAACUAUAACGGUCCUAAGGUAGCGAAAUUCCUUGUCAGGUAAGUUCUGACCCGCACGAAUGGCGUAAUGACUUGGGCACUGUCUCAACUGUGAAUCCGGCGAAGUUGUAGUACGAGUGAAGAUGCUCGUUACCCGCGAUUGGACGGAAAGACCCCGUAGAGCUUUACUGUAGCUUAGCAUUGAAUUUCGGUAUUGUCUGUACAGGAUAGGUGGGAGACUAGGAAGUCAGGGCGUCAGCCUUGAUGGAGUCAUCCUUGGGAUACCACCCUGACAGUACUGAGGUUCUAACUGGAUGCCAUGAAACUGGUGACAGGACAUUGUUAGGUGGGCAGUUUGACUGGGGCGGUCGCCUCCUAAAAAGUAACGGAGGCGCCCAAAGGUUCCCUCAGAACGGUCGGAAAUCGUUCGAAGAGUGCAAAGGCAGAAGGGAGCCUGACUGCGACACCCACAAGUGGAGCAGGGACGAAAGUCGGGCUUAGUGAUCCGGUGGUACCUCGUGGGAGGGCCAUCGCUCAACGGAUAAAAGCUACCUCGGGGAUAACAGGCUGAUCUCCCCCAAGAGUCCACAUCGACGGGGAGGUUUGGCACCUCGAUGUCGGCUCGUCGCAUCCUGGGGCUGAAGUAGGUCCCAAGGGUUGGGCUGUUCGCCCAUUAAAGCGGCACGCGAGCUGGGUUCAGAACGUCGUGAGACAGUUCGGUCCCUAUCCGUCGCGGGCGUAGGAAAUUUGAGAGGAGCUGUCCUUAGUACGAGAGGACCGGGAUGGACUGACCUCUGGUGUACCAGUUGUUCCGCCAGGAGCACAGCUGGGUAGCUAUGUCGGAAGAGAUAAACGCUGAAAGCAUCUAAGCGUGAAGCUCACCUCAAGAUUAGAUUUCCCAUAGCGUAAGCUAUAAGAUCCCUUGAAGAACACAAGGUUGAUAGGUCAGAGAUGUAAGCAUGGUAACAUGUUCAGUUGACUGAUACUAAUAGAUCGAGGGCUUGACCAA
RNAcentral lists this ribosomal RNA (4175 nucleotides) under Clostridium fallax. RNAcentral's name for it is "bacterial LSU rRNA". It matches the Rfam family "Bacterial large subunit ribosomal RNA". The record is from RNAcentral. Lineage: Bacteria; Bacillati; Bacillota; Clostridia; Eubacteriales; Clostridiaceae.